RNAcentral lists this small nuclear RNA (158 nucleotides) under Cervus elaphus hippelaphus. RNAcentral's name for it is "U1 spliceosomal RNA". It matches the Rfam family "U1 spliceosomal RNA". Rfam says of the family: U1 is a small nuclear RNA (snRNA) component of the spliceosome (involved in pre-mRNA splicing). The record is from Rfam by way of RNAcentral. RNAcentral also lists the same sequence under 1 other name. Lineage: Eukaryota; Metazoa; Chordata; Mammalia; Artiodactyla; Cervidae.
UUCUGGCAGGGGAGAUACCAUGAUCACGAAGGUGGUUUUCCCAGGGCGAGGCUUAUCUAUUGCACUCCGGAUGUGCUGACCCCUGCGAUUUCCCCAAAUGUGGGAAACUCGACUGCAUAAUUUGUGGUAGUGGGGGACUGCGUUCGCGCUUUCCCCUG